ACUCUGGAUCUGUGCCUGCCAGGGACGCUGGAAUCCUGAGCCCUCUGAAGGCGAGAUGUAGGUAGGGAGAGCCUGGCAGCUGUGCAGAGGUGGGGAGGAUUCGCACCCUCCGCCUAGAGCUGCCAUUGUGACUGGCUUUGUGGACAAUCCAAAGCAUUUAUUGAACACCUACUAUGUGCAGCACCCUGGGCUAGGCGCCAGAGGCAGGGAAUGAGACCCAGAGUUUAGCUAUGGUGGCCCUUUGCCAUCCUCCAGAAAACUGAAGGAGAACCUGACGAGGAGGCGGCAUUGUGAAGAGUGUUGGCAGUGAAACCACAGCUCCAUCAUCCAGCACCUCGGAAUCUAAAGGACUCUUUCCUUCCAAGCGGCCCGUGACUCAGUGGGUCCAAACGAGAUCACAUUUAUGAAGCUCUUGGUGCCAUGCCUGGCAUGUAGUAGGCCUCGUAGAAAUGUUUAUUAGCUAUUGUUAUCUCUAAACAGAAAGGGAAUUAGCUCAGGAGUAAAGAAGAGGGAAAUGGACCUAGGUCAAUGACAGGAUGGAUUCCUGGGCCUCUUCCCUGGCCAGCGGCCUCCUGUCACCCUGGCGCUCCCCUUCAGGUCCAUUCUAGGCCUCUGUCCUCUUGUGGCAAAGGGUCAGAGCAGCUCAGGCAGUUCUGUGUUUUCCUUUACGAUCAAAACCACAGAGGGCACGGCAGCCUAUCGAGAUGUGAUCCGGCAGGUCAGGGCUAACAUGAAGAAACUGAGCAAGGACACCAGGUACCUGCGUAAGGUGCACUGGAAGGAGUGGAAGAUAUUUGACCAGAGCCAGAAGGAUCUGCAGGCCGAUUUCAUCAGGAAAGUGAAAGACGUCAACGCAAAUGCAUUAGAAAAGAAGAAGAUGAAUCAGUAUUUCAUCCCCCCUCCAGUUUUCCAGGAGGAAUUUUAUGAUCAAUAUGGAAAAAUCGUUGAAAUGGAAGAAGUACAUUACAACACUGCACACAUAACCCCCCAGCUGAAAAUGAGAUGUUAGGCCUGAGACUGUGAGUUAAGAGUCAUUAACCCUUCGUGGUUCCUUCUGUCGAGCACAUUAAAGGUGGGCCCCAUCUGGGGCUUUGGAGGCUGUGGCAAACAGGCCCCUGGAGGCUGAGUGCUGGGGGUAGAGGCUUUGGGAACGUGGGAGGAAUCCCACAUCCUCAGCUUAAGUGUGUUCUCCGACAUUGAAGUGUUUAUUUUAAAAUUCAAUAGAUUCAAAAGAGAACUUAUUUUCCUUCUCAAGCCCAUGCUUUCCUUCCUUAACCUCCUGAUUUCUGUUGAGAGAUGCACCAUACUCCUGGUCACCCUGGGUGGUCUCAGUCUUUCCUCUCACCUUGGCAUCCAGCCACAUCCUGUGGAUUUCACCUCUGAGUUACCUUGGACACCCACCCCCUUGUUCAGACCUUUGUUACCUCUGUUCUGGCCUAUUGUAAUCACCUUCAUCCUCUCUCCUCUCCAACUUAUCCUUUUAAAAUGUUUUGAUGGCUAGAUCCCAUUCAGCAGACAAGGAAAGCUGUUGCACAGUGCAUUCCCAGAAAGCCACUGGGCCACUUGGGACUGCCCUGAUAAUCCAUGGGAUGCUCUGGUUUUAUAAUUCAACAGAAAGGAAAGGUGUGUGUGUCAACUAUCACUUGAAUUUUUUUACCUGUCAGUGCUGACUUUGCCUUAUUGUAGUCAUUGUGUGUUGUGGUUUUCUCAGCUUUCUCCACCCGGCCUUCCUUCCUUCACCUUGAGCAGCCCCAUGUGCCUCUGAGUUCUUCCUUUUUGUUAUUCUUGAAAGUAUAGCGAUUCAUGACAUUCCACAGAGCAUACUUUGUUCCAUCAUCCCUCAAUUGUGGGGCAUGUGUUUUCUUCUCACAAAUAAUGCUGCUAUGAACAUUUAUUUGCAAAGGGGUCUUUUCUUUUUUUUAAUCCUUUUUUAAAAAAUUAAUUUAUUUUGAUUUAUCAACAAUCACUUCCGUAAGCUUUUGAGUUUUAAAUUUUUCUUCCCCUCCGUC
This 2009-nucleotide long non-coding RNA is filed under the name Vombatus ursinus (common wombat). RNAcentral's name for it is "lncRNA (ENSVURG00010003176.1)". Lineage: Eukaryota; Metazoa; Chordata; Mammalia; Diprotodontia; Vombatidae. The record is from RNAcentral.